This 85-nucleotide transfer RNA is filed under the name Claviceps sp. LM84 group G4. RNAcentral describes it as "tRNA-Ala". It matches the Rfam family "tRNA". Rfam says of the family: Transfer RNA (tRNA) molecules are approximately 80 nucleotides in length. Their secondary structure includes four short double-helical elements and three loops (D, anti-codon, and T loops). Lineage: Eukaryota; Fungi; Ascomycota; Sordariomycetes; Hypocreales; Clavicipitaceae. The record is from RNAcentral. RNAcentral also lists the same sequence under 2 other names.
GGGCGAAUGGUUUAGUGGUAUAAUACUCCCUUAGCAUAUUCGCCACGAUUGGGAGUGGUCCAGGGUUCGAUUCCCUGUUCGUCCA